AGACCCGAAACCCGGUGAUCUAGCCAUGGGCAGGUUGAAGGUUGGGUAACACUAACUGGAGGACCGAACCGACUAAUGUUGAAAAAUUAGCGGAUGACCUGUGGCUGGGGGUGAAAGGCCAAUCAAACCGGGAGAUAGCUGGUUCUCCCCGAAAGCUAUUUAGGUAGCGCCUCGUGAAUUCAUCUCCGGGGGUAGAGCACUGUUUCGGCUAGGGGGCCAUCCCGGCUUACCAACCCGAUGCAAACUGCGAAUACCGGAGAAUGUUAUCACGGGAGACACACGGCGGGUGCUAACGUCCGUCGUGAAGAGGGAAACAACCCAGACCGCCAGCUAAGGUCCCAAAGUCAUGGUUAAGUGGGAAACGAUGUGGGAAGGCCCAGACAGCCAGGAUGUUGGCUUAGAAGCAGCCAUCAUUUAAAGAAAGCGUAAUAGCUCACUGGUCGAGUCGGCCUGCGCGGAAGAUGUAACGGGGCUAAACCAUGCACCGAAGCUGCGGCAGCGACGCUUAUGCGUUGUUGGGUAGGGGAGCGUUCUGUAAGCCUGUGAAGGUGGCCUGUGAGGGUUGCUGGAGGUAUCAGAAGUGCGAAUGCUGACAUAAGUAACGAUAAAGCGGGUGAAAAGCCCGCUCGCCGGAAGACCAAGGGUUCCUGUCCAACGUUAAUCGGGGCAGGGUGAGUCGACCCCUAAGGCGAGGCCGAAAGGCGUAGUCGAUGGGAAACGGGUUAAUAUUCCCGUACUUGGUGUUACUGCGAAGGGGGGACGGAGAAGGCUAUGUUGGCCGGGCGACGGUUGUCCCGGUUUAAGCGUGUAGGUGUGUGUUCCAGGUAAAUCCGGUUCACUUUAACACUGAGGCGUGACGACGAGGCACUACGGUGCUGAAGCAACAAAUGCCCUGCUUCCAGGAAAAGCCUCUAAGCAUCAGGUAACAUCAAAUCGUACCCCAAACCGACACAGGUGGUCAGGUAGAGAAUACCAAGGCGCUUGAGAGAACUCGGGUGAAGGAACUAGGCAAAAUGGUGCCGUAACUUCGGGAGAAGGCACGCUGACACGUAGGUGAAGUGAUUUACUCAUGGAGCUGAAGUCAGUCGAAGAUACCAGCUGGCUGCAACUGUUUAUUAAAAACACAGCACUGUGCAAACACGAAAGUGGACGUAUACGGUGUGACGCCUGCCCGGUGCCGGAAGGUUAAUUGAUGGGGUCAGCGCAAGCGAAGCUCCUGAUCGAAGCCCCGGUAAACGGCGGCCGUAACUAUAACGGUCCUAAGGUAGCGAAAUUCCUUGUCGGGUAAGUUCCGACCUGCACGAAUGGCGUAAUGAUGGCCAGGCUGUCUCCACCCGAGACUCAGUGAAAUUGAACUCGCUGUGAAGAUGCAGUGUACCCGCGGCAAGACGGAAAGACCCCGUGAACCUUUACUAUAGCUUGACACUGAACAUUGAGCCUUGAUGUGUAGGAUAGGUGGGAGGCUUUGAAGUGUGGAC
RNAcentral lists this ribosomal RNA (1478 nucleotides) under Salmonella enterica subsp. enterica. RNAcentral describes it as "partial 23S ribosomal RNA". It matches the Rfam family "Bacterial large subunit ribosomal RNA", at positions 711 to 2169 of the family's 2925-position model. The record is from RNAcentral. Lineage: Bacteria; Pseudomonadati; Pseudomonadota; Gammaproteobacteria; Enterobacterales; Enterobacteriaceae.